UACGGGGGGGGUAAGCGUUGUUCGGAAUUACUGGGCGUAAAGGGCUCGUAGGCGGCCAACUAAGUCAGACGUGAAAUCCCUCAGCUUAACUGGGGAACUGCGUCUGAUACUGGAUGGCUUGGAUCCGGGAGAGGGAUGCGGAAUUCCAGGUGUAGCGGUGAAAUGCGUAGAUAUCUGGAGGAACACCGGUGGCGAAGGCGGCAUCUUGGACCGGUAUUGACGCUGAGGAGCGAAAGCCAGGGGAGCAAACGGG
This 253-nucleotide ribosomal RNA is filed under the name uncultured bacterium. RNAcentral describes it as "partial 16S ribosomal RNA". It matches the Rfam family "Bacterial small subunit ribosomal RNA", at positions 524 to 776 of the family's 1533-position model. The record is from RNAcentral.